UCUUCUGUGAGAUCUUGAUCUUCGAUUCCAUCAUAAGCAGAGAAUUCGUCAUACAAGAAAGCCACUAUAAGUGACCUCUUGGAGGGGCUGAAUAAAACAGUCGCAGUCAUGGGGAAAGUGCUCCUCUUUAUUAGGCACGACAAUAUAGCUCCUCUGUGAGUCUUCUUCCUUCAAUUUUAUCAUGGCUUAUUUGAUUUUUUAUCCAUUAUACUACCAUCUACCCCAUCUCUAACAUAUUCAAAUGACCUUUUAAUGGGUCUUUGUACGUGUGUGUCGUAAAGUUUUGGAGCAUUUAUACUAUGAAAAUACCAGAAUACGGCCUCUUGAUUUUCUUUUUCUUUU
Molecule: long non-coding RNA, 342 nt
Organism: Magnolia sinica
Lineage: Eukaryota; Viridiplantae; Streptophyta; Magnoliopsida; Magnoliales; Magnoliaceae
Exons: 2
Source: RefSeq, a predicted model, not a curated record